GAUGAGCGCUAGCGGCAGGCUUAACACAUGCAAGUCGAGGGGCAGCAUAAUGGAUAGCAAUAUCUAUGGUGGCGACCGGCGCACGGGUGCGUAACGCGUAUGCAACCUACCUUUAACAGGGGGAUAACACUGAGAAAUUGGUACUAAUACCCCAUAAUAUCAUAGAAGGCAUCUUUUAUGGUUGAAAAUUCCGAUGGUUAGAGAUGGGCAUGCGUUGUAUUAGCUAGUUGGUGGGGUAACGGCUCACCAAGGCGACGAUACAUAGGGGGACUGAGAGGUUAACCCCCCACACUGGUACUGAGACACGGACCAGACUCCUACGGGAGGCAGCAGUGAGGAAUAGUGGUCAAUGGACGCAAGUCUGAACCAGCCAUGCCGCGUGCAGGAUGACGGCUCUAUGAGUUGUAAACUGCUUUUGUACGAGGGUAAACGCAGAUACGUGUAUCUGUCUGAAAGUAUCGUACGAAUAAGGAGCGGCUAACUCCGUG
This 488-nucleotide ribosomal RNA is filed under the name uncultured bacterium. RNAcentral describes it as "partial 16S ribosomal RNA". It matches the Rfam family "Bacterial small subunit ribosomal RNA", at positions 28 to 507 of the family's 1533-position model. The record is from RNAcentral.